UUUAAAGCCUCGGAGGGGCUGUGGCUGCUGCGGCUCCGGCAGCAGCACGCGGGAGGCGGGGCCGGAGGCUCAUCCGCCCCUCAGCCCGCCCACCCACGGUCCCGCAGCGGCGCGCGGCUGACGCUCACUCAGCGAUCCGGCCCUCCGCUGCUCCCGCGCAACCCCACGCGAAAGCGGCCGGUGCCAGGAUCGCGGCCACCCAGCCCGCGCCGGGCCUCAGGCAGUGCGGACGGCACGAACGGCGCGAUCUGGGACAGGCGCGGCCGCGCUCCGCCUCAGUGAUGUCGCCGGGAGGAUCUCCGCGCCGCUACCUCCUCUUCCGUCGCCCUCCUCCCACGCCUUCACCUCCCUCCCCCGCCGCGCUCUGCGGCGAAAAGGAGCUGGCUCCCAGCCCGCCUCCCUUCUCUUCACCCAGGGACCGCGCGUCAGUGAACCGGCAGCCCAGGCAACGGGGCUGCGGACGGCGCGCGGGCCCUGCCUUGCCUCACGCCGGUAGCUGAUGCUCCCGCGGCAGCUGCCACCCCGGCGCCCCAGCCGGGACUUCAGAGGCUCUCGCCCGCUGGCUUUUUUUUUUUUUUUUCCCCUCGCCUUUGAUGAACUCGCAGUACUUGGGCUGAGCCCGAAAUCUCGCGAGAUGCUGCAGGCGUCAGUGCCGCUUCCCACCAGGCGCGUGGUACCCGAGGCCGGGCUGGAGCCGCAGGCCCGCAGCUAUUCCUGCGGGCGAUGCUGGGGGCUUUCCGGUCGGGGCGGCAGCCGCUUCCGGAGCCGCGGGCGAGUAGAGACGGGUUUCACCGUGUUAACCAGGUCUCCUGACUUCGUGAUCCGCCCGCCUCGGCCUCUCCAAGUGCUGGGAUUACAAGCGUGAGCCACCGCGCCCGGCCCUUGUAUUUUUAAACUUGACUUUAUGGAGACGAACACUAUCGUUUGCUGAGCACUUGAAAUAUGGUGAAAGAGCCACAGAGUUGGCAGAACUGUUUGCAAAUGCUAUUUUUAGGGCAGUUUUUUGUGUCAUUAUGUUGCUGCUACAUAUUUGGAAGAUGGAACAAGCCCAGACAAAGGAUGAUUCUUUUUUAUCCAUCUUAAAUCCAUUUUUUUUCCUUCGUCUGAGCCCCUUAAAACUAAUGUGUUACUGGUACAAGUGGUCUUCUCUGUCUUCUUUCUGGCCAGUAAAAUUCUCUGGAAGAGGAGAUGUAUGGCAGCCUCACUCCCAGUAGUUUCUGCAUUUAGUGAGAUAAGUCAUAGCAAUUGUCUGCUAUUUUAAAACACCAUGAUGCUUAAAUAUUCCAGCUGCUACAUAGGACAGGUGUCUGACGAUCCUCAGCACAGUAGUCGAAAAAUAGAACUUGAGCCUGGAAUACAUUCUCUGGCAUAGCCAUAGUCAAUCACCAGUAUAAUUAAUGUAAAUAGACACUGGAUAGCUUUUUUUUGAAUUCCAAUGCAGCACAAAGAGACUUUCAUUGUUUCCAAAAAGAAAAUGUUUGAGAUUAAAAUCUAGAGUUUUAUGACUUAGAGGAAAUGUUAUAGCUUACUCCAAAAAGGGUAAGGCACAAAAUAUUCUGUGCCAAAGGAUGCAUAUUUGGCAUUUUUCCUAUGAAUCCCUUAGUGUAAGUGGCAUGAUGAAAUUUUCUUGGUUUCAACACAGAUAAUGUGUUGAGGUAGUGCUGAGGCUGAGAGGUGGGUGGGAUGGGUCUUGGAGAAGGAAAAGAUUUGUUUUGCAAGGUUUAUGGAGAGCUGAUGCAGUAGUGAGGCUAAGACGAGGGGCGUUUACUUGCUACUUACAUUGAGUUCACUAACAUCUGCAGCACUUUACUUGCAUUAUCCACACCAUUACCACGGGAAACCUAUAAAGUAAGUAUUCCUCUCCUCAUUUUACAAAUAGGGAAACAGAAGAUUUAGAAAAUUUUCCAAGCUCACAGAAUUAUUAAAUGGCAGAACUAGGACUCAAACCCAGGUUUGAUUAAUUUUAGAGACAUGCUUUUAACCACUUGGACGCUGACAACCAUGGAAUUGUUGGUAUGAAAAAAUCGUAUUCUUGAGGUAUAUUAUCUAUGGUCUUAAUAUCAGAGAAGUGCAGUUGAGUCGCUAUUAAAGAAUGUGGUAAAAUUUUAAAAUAGAUACCAUACAAAGGUAUAAAAAUAAUUAUAAAUAUUCUGUUUGGGGUAAAAGGUAUCAAAAUAGCCAUGCUCAGUGGAGGGGUAAGGAACUCUUAGCAGAGAUUGAUUAAUUGGGAGAUAGUUGAUUAAUGGGGAGUUAAUUGAUUAAUUGGGAUUGAUUAAUUUGGGAGUAGGUGGGAAGAUCAGGAAGUUGUAUAAAAUAAGGGAGAGAUAACCUAGUACCUGGAAAAAAAAGAAAUGGAAAUCGGUAGAAGCUAAGAGUUCAAUGGGAAAAAAAAGGAAUAAAAGAGAUUGGAAAGGAACAAUGAAUAUAGCAUGGAAGAUCCAAGAUGACGGGAGUUCAGGGGCUAAUUACAGCAGUGGAAAAAAGUAAUGUGUAAGCUGGAAGCCAGAGAUAAGAGCCAGGUAAAUGAAGAAGUUGGGCCCAAACAGGAAAGAAUUAGAAAGACUAGAAGGAGCAGGAGCCAUGUGGAAAAAUAUCAUGUAGUACUUUUAAGCUUGACCUGUCAUCUAUAGCAAACCCAGCAGGCUUAAGUACCAAAUUGACCUGACUGAACUAUGUUGAAAUGUACUAUGGUUUUAUAUCCAUAUGCACUUGGUCUGUGGAGUUGUGGGAAAAGCAUCAGUGAGUAGGAAGCCUAAGGAUUUGGGUCAAGUGUUAAAUAUGCUAUUUACUGUCUAGCUGUGUGACCUUAUAUAAGUCACUUGCAGUCUCCGAGCCUUCAUGUAUUCAUCCAUAAGAUGACUUGUUGUUUAUAUUAAAUGGGAUGUGGUAUGUUAAAGAGCUGAAUGCAUAGUGAUACAGAAGUACUUUCUGUAAUACUAUUUUUUAAAUAUUUUAAAUGAAAAAUUAAUGAACUUAUAAAUUAAAAGAUUCAAAAGGGACAAAAAGGUAUACAGUGAAAAGCAAUUCUCCUUCCCACCAGUAGCUCUGUCCUACUCCUUAGGACAUUCGCCAUAAACAGAUAUCCUGAAUUCUUCUAGAAAUAUUAUAUAUAAAAUCUCCUUAUUUUUCUUUUUUACCAUUUUAAAGGGGAUAAACUAAACUUUGCUUUUUUUCAUAUAAUAAUAUAUUCUGGAGAUCAUUUUCUAAAAGCACAUGUAAAUAUACCUCAUUAUUAUAAAGGUUUGAAAAUGUCAAUUUAUUUGACCUGUCCCCUCUCGAUAGAUAAUUAGAUUGUAUUCAUCUCUUUGGUUAUUACCAACAGAUAUUAAGAACUUACCAUGUACAUAUAGCCUAUUUUUUAGCAUUGUUAGACAAAGUAGGCAUAUUCCUUCCCAUCCAGGAACUCAUAACCUGGUAAUUGUAGUUGGCUGAUAGCUCUUUGCCUAUACACAGGACCUAACACAACCUCUUGAAUAAACAUUCCCCUUACUCAGAAAUGCCUUUUCCUAUUUCCAUAUUGCAACUUUGCUUACAAAUUUCCAAUCUGUCUUUCUAUUUACAGAAGAUAUGCAGAAUUCCUUUUGUGUGAUCUCUUUAUAUCUCUUGAUUUUCUUUUGUGUUUGCUACCAAAGGGUCUGCACAUAGUGAGAAGAUUGUGCAUGAUCUGUGAGCUCUACCACACCUAGAAUUAGGGAUCACCAAUAUGAGAAAAAAAAUUGGAGGUACAAAUAAUAUUAUCAUAUAUAACUGGCAUAUAAAUUACAGAUGUGUCUAUGACUAAAAAUCUUGUGGAUAUAAACCAAAUGCAGAUAAAUAUAAUAAAAUAUAUAAAAUAUAAUCAAAUAAUGAUAAUGCUAUUCAAAUGCUUCAAAUUUGCACAGUGAUUUAUUUCUUAAAAUAUGUUAACACGUGAGCCCAUACACUCAGAUCACUGGAAAAAUAAACAGAUUCUUGCAAGUGCUUUGGAAAUGAAA
Rhinopithecus roxellana (golden snub-nosed monkey) is the source of this 3974-nucleotide RNA transcript. RefSeq lists it as uncharacterized. The record is from RefSeq and is a predicted model, not a curated record. The transcript has 5 exons. NCBI's taxonomy places the organism in Eukaryota, Metazoa, Chordata, Mammalia, Primates, Cercopithecidae.